CAGACUAUACUUUCAGGGAUCAUUUCUAUAGUUACUAACUAGGAAAUGUGUUUCAAAAGAGUUUUGUCUUCCUAACUACGAUGAUGAGCGAGAAUGUGCUUCUCUAAGUGUGAAUCGGAUAGUGAACUAUGAUAUAUUCACAGUGAGCUACCAUUGAUGAACGUUCAGGAUUCUUUUUGAAUCAAUGAAGAGAAGUGCAUGAUCCCAGUAGGG
Small nucleolar RNA from Carassius auratus (goldfish), 213 nucleotides. Ensembl annotates it as small nucleolar RNA U3. The record is from Ensembl. NCBI's taxonomy places the organism in Eukaryota, Metazoa, Chordata, Actinopteri, Cypriniformes, Cyprinidae.